Molecule: microRNA precursor, 44 nt
Filed under: Monodelphis domestica (gray short-tailed opossum)
Lineage: Eukaryota; Metazoa; Chordata; Mammalia; Didelphimorphia; Didelphidae
Description: microRNA mdo-mir-7255 precursor
Source: miRBase by way of RNAcentral
CGGACGAGCUCGGUGGACCAGCUAGCCAGCGGCUUGGGUUCGGA